RNAcentral lists this ribosomal RNA (579 nucleotides) under uncultured bacterium. RNAcentral's name for it is "partial 16S ribosomal RNA". It matches the Rfam family "Bacterial small subunit ribosomal RNA", at positions 355 to 928 of the family's 1533-position model. The record is from RNAcentral.
UGGGGAAUUUUGGACAAUGGGCGAAAGCCUGAUCCAGCAAUGCCGCGUGUGUGAAGAAGGCCUUCGGGUUGUAAAGCACUUUUGUCCGGAAAGAAAUCCUUGGCUCUAAUACAGUCGGGGAUGACGGUACCGGAAGAAUAAGCACCGGCUAACUACGUGCCAGCAGCCGCGGUAAUACGUAGGGUGCAAGCGUUAAUCGGAAUUACUGGGCGUAAAGCGUGCGCAGGCGGUUNAGACGACUGUGAAAUCCCCGGGCUCAACCUGGGAACUGCAUUGGUGACUGGCAGGCUAGAGUAUGGCAGAGGGGGGUANAAUUCCACGUGUAGCAGUGAAAUGCGUAGAGAUGUGGAGGAAUACCGAUGGCGAAGGCAGCCCCCUGGGCCAAUACUGANGCUCAUGCACGAAAAGCGUGGGGAGCAAACAGGAUUAGAUACCCUGGUAGUCCACGCCCUAAAACGAUGUCAACUAGUUGUUGGGGAUUCAUUUCCUUAGUAACGUAGCUAACGCGUGAAGUUGACCGCCUGGGGAGUACGGUCGCAAGAUUAAAACUUAAAAGGAAUUUGACGGGGGUCAUAGCUG